UUUUAAGUUAAGGCUUACAAAACUCCAAGUCUCUUCUGCAAAACUGCUAUAAAAAGAUCUUCAACCACAAAAGCCACCAGAAUUCACAAAGCCACACCCCUGCCCAGGAAAAGCAAAGCUAAUGUCAAUAGGUGGACAGGAAUGGAUGACCAAUGGUCUCAAAUGCCAUAGAGGAAUCUCCAAAAAUGAACUG
This is a non-coding RNA of Anas platyrhynchos (mallard), 193 nucleotides long. NCBI's taxonomy places the organism in Eukaryota, Metazoa, Chordata, Aves, Anseriformes, Anatidae. The record is from RefSeq and is a predicted model, not a curated record.